Molecule: ribosomal RNA, 360 nt
Filed under: Triticum aestivum (bread wheat)
Lineage: Eukaryota; Viridiplantae; Streptophyta; Magnoliopsida; Poales; Poaceae
Description: partial small subunit ribosomal RNA
Source: RNAcentral
AUGUCUAGCUCGACUUCGGCCUCCCGCCAAUCAUGGACGCAGUACGGUCCACUGCUGUUGACAAGAUGCCCCGAUUGCCCGCGCAUGGAGCCUCUGAAGCGUUUGACUUGUGUGAGGGAAGAAAAUGGCAACCGUGGGCGCGAGUUUGUGAAAUGCUUGAGCAAGCCACAGCCGGGGCAGGUUCUGAAGAAAUGUGGGCAUUUUGAGUGGCUCGAUGACUAUGUUGAAAGGUUGAAAUUGGAGGGAUCAACCCGAACCCAAGAGCUCAAUUUUGGGGGGGGGGGGGCUUGCCGUGGAACAAGCCCCCAAUUUGGCGGACAGAGCCGAUCCGAUGAUGCACAGUGCAGAACUGAAGUGUGA